GCUGUUCUCAUCAGAGCAGUCACACAUGGGGAAUAUAACACAAGCUGUGCUAGACUUCAUAAAGAAAGAUUGGAGUAUAUAGAUUAGAGUAUAUAUGUGAAAGCAGUCAUUUUAUUUUCUACAAAUCUACAUUGAGCUCUAUGACACUGAUUUGACCAAACUGUAAACAUAUUAGUAUUAUACACACUCCAGUACAGCAGGUGGCAGUAUUCAGCUUUACGCUGCUUUCUAUAACUCGCCACACAAGAAGAAGAAGAAGAGGAGGAGGCGGCGGAGGAUAUCCGGUUUACUCGUGAUGAGCUUCUGGAUUUGAGUGUCUCAGCUGCUGAUCUAUUCCUGCAUUCAGCUGAAUUAUGAAGGCUGAUCAAUGACUGGAGAUCUGUGAUUGUUCAUCAGUUUCUGCUGAAGAUCAAACUCUUCAGGUCCAUCAUGGGUAACACACACACUGCUGGAGAUCAGGAUUUGUCUACAGGAUGCAGUUCAGUUCAUCAGAAGAGAGCAGAAGCAGAGCCCAGCUGUGUGUCUAUGAAGAGUGACGCGUCUAUGCACCCACCAAUACAUUUUAAGAGUGGAAACACAGGACCUGCUGUCAGUUUGGUUCAUCAGAAGAGAGCAGAAGCAGAGCCCAGCUGUGUGUCUAUGAAGAGUGACAAGUCUAUGAUCCAACCAAUAACAUUUAGGAGUGAAAACACACGACCUGCUGUCAGUGUGGAUGGAGAUGAUCAGACUGGAGACCUG
Non-coding RNA from Danio rerio (zebrafish), 738 nucleotides. NCBI's taxonomy places the organism in Eukaryota, Metazoa, Chordata, Actinopteri, Cypriniformes, Danionidae. The record is from RefSeq and is a predicted model, not a curated record.